Molecule: long non-coding RNA, 1008 nt
Organism: Cyprinus carpio (common carp)
Lineage: Eukaryota; Metazoa; Chordata; Actinopteri; Cypriniformes; Cyprinidae
Source: Ensembl
CAGGAGUGGAUCAAGGGUCAGGUUCAAAGGGGUUUAUUGAAUACUGCAGAGGUUUAUUGGGUAUGGGUGUUUAUGGUUGUAAUAUUUUCAAGUGAAUGCUCAAAAUAUAUUAUUUAGGUUGCACUUUACAAUAAUUAACUAAGCCUUUUCACAGGGCAGCAUCGACAACAAGUUUCUGAGCUCCUGAAUGUUUCUGUGUGCGCAGCUCGACCUCCGAUCUCUGUGUGUGAGUGAUGUGUGUGUGUGCAUCAAUUAAAACAGCACAUUAAUAUAUAACUAGAGGUGGGACAAAAUAUCAAUAUCGUUUUCUGAUCCCCUUUCUGCUCUCAGGAAUGAGUGUAGGUAGCAUCGUCAAUGGCCAAAUUUUAUCAAUCUUUAUUAUUAUUAUUAUCAUCGAUGAUGAUGUUAUUGCUGAUGGGUUAAUUACAGGAGCUGGUGGUGGGAAUAGGAUGCCAGUAGGUAAUGGUUGAACACACACAAACACAGGAACACGAGGAGACGAAGGAGAUCGGGAGACUUGGAAUAAUCGUUCAGGUAAGUAGGUUAGUAUGAGCAAUGAGUCCUUUCAACAAUGGAGACCAGACAAUGUGUUUGUGUGUUCGGUGUGUUUUUGAACUGUGGUGCUGGUGAUCAGAACUCCGGUGAUUGGGGUCAUUGAUUAGUGCAAGAGCCUGGUGUUUCCGUGACACCCAUCUCCAUCAAAAGUUUUUUUUUAGUUAUCCUGGCUCAAGAGGUUAACCACUUCAGUGCAUUAGAGGAAUCAAUUUUAGGCUGCAUUUGUGUAUUAUAGUCUCUUUCACAUAUUAGAACCCUAGAGCCUUCCGAGGCAUUUAACUGAAAAAUUUCUCUAAUAUAGGAAUUGUCCUGCUCAGGGGCUAUAUACACAUUAACUAGUGUAACUUCUUUCUGAUGUAGAAAUCCCUUAACUAAAACAUAAGGACCCUCUGUAUCAGUGAAUUCAGAAACCACUCUCACACUUUUAGAAAUUAGUAUUGCUACCUUUCUUUU